GACGAACGCUGGCGGCGUGCUUAGCACAUGCAAGUCGAGCGGUAAGGCCUUUCGGGGUACACGAGCGGCGAACGGGUGAGUAACACGUGGGUGAUCUGCCCUGCACUUCGGGAUAAGCCUGGGAAACUGGGUCUAAUACCGGAUAUGACCUCCUAUCGCAUGGUGGGUGGUGGAAAGAUUUAUCGGUGCAGGAUGGGCCCGCGGCCUAUCAGCUUGUUGGUGGGGUAAUGGCCUACCAAGGCGACGACGGGUAGCCGACCUGAGAGGGUGACCGGCCACACUGGGACUGAGACACGGCCCAGACUCCUACGGGAGGCAGCAGUGGGGAAUAUUGCACAAUGGGCGAAAGCCUGAUGCAGCGACGCCGCGUGAGGGAUGACGGCCUUCGGGUUGUAAACCUCUUUCAGCAGGGACGAAGCGCAAGUGACGGUACCUGCAGAAGAAGCACCGGCUAACUACGUG
Molecule: ribosomal RNA, 462 nt
Filed under: uncultured bacterium
Lineage: Bacteria
Description: partial 16S ribosomal RNA
Rfam family: Bacterial small subunit ribosomal RNA
Source: RNAcentral